This is a long non-coding RNA of Equus quagga, 1890 nucleotides long. RefSeq lists it as uncharacterized. The transcript has 4 exons. Lineage: Eukaryota; Metazoa; Chordata; Mammalia; Perissodactyla; Equidae. The record is from RefSeq and is a predicted model, not a curated record.
GAGCUUUGGACCAUUGGGACAUCCUGUGGAACAUCACGUGGAUCCAUUAUACUGACAGCAUCAAGCUGAUUGGACAGGAAGAGUGAGAAGUGGCGUACUGGAAAUCUUGGUUUUCCCUCAGGAAGAGAGGCCCAUGGAAACCAUUGAGGAGCAGCUCCCCAACAUAGAGGGAGAAGAGGCACAAGGUGUGACCACGAUAGCUAUGAAGUGCUUGGGUCAGGUCUCCCUUCAGAAAGAACUUGCCAUAAGAGCUCAGUGGAGCCUCACGGUAUUCGCUUCAGAGAUUUGGUUAUCUGCUUCCUCAGGCAAUUCACCUGAUUAGAGGAUUUACACACUAAAAGAGGUUUUUAAAAAAGAAAUAACCUUGGGAAUGAGAAUUAACACAAGUAUAAUCCAUCACUGUCUGAUCUGAGAAUUGAACUCACCUACAUCCAUGUAGCUUAAUUAUUAGGACUGAGGACUGAGCCCACCUGUGUCAACAUGACUUGAGUGUUCCAGGAAAAUUCUCACUCAGGAAGAUAAGAAUAUAACCGGUAAAUAAUUUCAUUCUUGGCUUCAGAAAAUUUGUGCAAACCAAUUUGUGCAAAUAGUUUUCUCAACUAGGCAAACAGCUCUCCUAUCGGGACAAUAGGUGACUCACCCGGCCAACGGCUCACUUAUCAAACAAUGUUUUACUUACUGCGGCUGCUUCUAGACACUUGCCUCACCGUGUCCACCAAUUCUAUGCCACAAACUCCCUCCAGCCUCGAUCAGUUUCCCAUCUUGAAAUAUCCACCUUAAACCAAGUGUGACCAGAUCCAAACCUGAGAGAGAUCCCGCUCUGAGCUCCCCCUCUAGGCACACAACUGAGACUGUCGAAGUGAUUCUCUCCCUUGGGGCAGUAGGUCUGAUAAACUUAGCUUUGCCUGAUUGUCAUGUUCUCUGUGUUUUGGGGGGAGGUUGAUGUCGAUGGCCAUAGCACCUCUCUACUCCUCCCCUACUGCCAUCCUGUAUCAUACACACGCCGCCAUCAGCUCCAUCAAACUUCACUGAUUCCUAUUGGAUUAGUAUAAAAAUACUUGCGCACACAUUAAAAUUAAGAAUAAAGAAUUCUCCUAUGUGCAAUUUCUCUCAUUCUUCUGAAUUAGGCUUAUUUGAACACACAGACGUUUAAAAGUACAGACCUUGGUAAUUCUAGACUUACAUGAAUGCAUUUGGAUAUGAAAACAUGUGGGCAAUAAUGAGGUCUGGACUUUGUGACCUUGGGCAAAUUAUCUAACAUUUCUAAGUGUCAAGUACCUCAUCUAUAAAAUAAUGAUAAUAAAAAAAUAAUGAAAAUCGCUAAUACGUAUUUAGCACUUACUGCAUCUGAUGUGAAAACUGAAACCAACACACUUUCCUGUUUUUGUAUUAAGCAAUACUGGGACCAGGCAAAAAUAACAGCUCGGUGGGCCAAGAAAUAAUUGUUCCCAGAAGAUAAACCAACUAAAACAACUUAUUUAACAAGACUAACUGCUUAUACAUCAAUACUUGUAUCAAGCCCCUUGCCUCACUGUGCCCACAAAUCCAUAACUCACAUCAUGAACGGCGCAGUCCCAGUCUUGUCACCUGCUUUUCAAGACUCCUUGUAAAAUCAUCAGCUCAAAUUCUAACACCAUAUAUAUGAUAUGAUACACACUCAUACACACACACACACACAUAUAUAUACACAUAUCUAUACAUAUUAUAUAUAUCCAGUCAUAUGCCACAUGAUGUCAUGUUCAGUCAACAACGGAAAGAAUAUUCGACAGUGGUCCCAUAAGGUUAGUACCAUAUAGCCUUGAUGUGUAGUAUGCUGUACCUUCUGGGUUUGUGUAAGUACUCUCUAUGAUGUUCGUACAACGAUGAAAUCACCUAAGGAUAUAUUUCUCA